Molecule: ribosomal RNA, 440 nt
Filed under: uncultured bacterium
Lineage: Bacteria
Description: partial 16S ribosomal RNA
Rfam family: Bacterial small subunit ribosomal RNA
Source: RNAcentral
CCUACGGGAGGCAGCAGUGGGGAAUAUUGGACAAUGGGGGGAACCCUGAUCCAGCGACGCCGCGUGAGUGAAGAAGUAUUUCGGUAUUUAAAGCUCUAUCAGCAGGGAAGAAAAUGACGGUACCUGACUAAGAAGCCCCGGCUAACUACGUGCCAGCAGCCGCGGUAAGACGUAGGGGGCAAGCGUUAUCCGGAUUUACUGGGUGUAAAGGGAGCGUAGACGGUGCAGCAAGUCUGAUGUGAAAGGUCGGGGCCCAACCCCGGGACUGCAUUGGAAACUGGUGAACUGGAGUACAGGAGAGGGAAGCGGAAUUCCUAGUGUAGCGGUGAAAUGCGUAGAUAUUAGGAGGAACACCAGUGGCGAAGGCGGCUUACUGGACUGUAACUGACGUUGAGGCUCGAAAGCGUGGGGAGCAAACAGGAUUAGAUACCCGGGUAGUC